This 473-nucleotide ribosomal RNA is filed under the name uncultured bacterium. RNAcentral describes it as "bacterial SSU rRNA". It matches the Rfam family "Bacterial small subunit ribosomal RNA", at positions 8 to 526 of the family's 1533-position model. The record is from RNAcentral.
AGGGUUUGAUUAUGGCUCAGAACGUACGCUGGCGGCACGCCUAACACGUGCAAGUCGAACGAAGUAGCAAUACUUAGUGGCAGACGGGUGAGUAACAUGUAGGUAUCUUCCCUUUGGCCUGGAAUAACACGAGGAAACUUGUGCUAAUACUGGAUAAGUCUUUACGGAGAAAGCUUUAUGCACCAUUGGAUGAGCCUGCACUUGAUUAGUUUGUUGGUGGGGUAAUGGCCUACCAAGACUGUGAUCAAUAGCUGAUUUGAGAGGAUGAUCAGCCACAUUGGGACUGAGACACGGCCCAAACUCCUACGGGAGGCAGCAGUGGGGAAUCUUGCACAAUGGAGGAAACUCUGAUGCAGCGAUGCCGCGUGAGUGAAGAAGGCCCUUGGGUUGUAAAGCUCUUUCGUCGGGGAAGAAAAUGACUGUACCCGAAUAAGAAGGUCCGGCUAACUUCGUGCCAGCCGCCGCGGUAAUAC